Molecule: ribosomal RNA, 420 nt
Filed under: Triticum aestivum (bread wheat)
Lineage: Eukaryota; Viridiplantae; Streptophyta; Magnoliopsida; Poales; Poaceae
Description: partial small subunit ribosomal RNA
Source: RNAcentral
AUGGUUAACACCAUGUUAGACACAUCGGGUCUUUCCAAGGAAUGGUGGGGGGAGGCACUAAUGACUGCGUGUCAUGUCCUAAACCGAGUUCCCACAAAGCAUAAGACCAUGACUCCAUUUGAGGAAUGGGAAAGGAAAAGAUUGAAACUCUCUUACCUACGUACUUGGGGUUGUUUGGCGAAGGUCAAUAUACCAAUUUCCAAGAAGCGCAAGCUUGGACCAAAAACCGUGGAUUGUGUUCUUCUGGGCUAUGCUUUUCAUAGCAUCGGCUAUAGAUUUUUGAUAAUAAAAUAUGAGGUAUCCGACAUGCAUGUUGGUACGAUUAUGGAGUCGAAUGAUGCAAUUUUCUUUGAGGACAUAUUUCCUAUGAAGGAUAUGUCGAGUUCAUCAAAUCAGGAGAUACCUACUCCAUCUAGUUAG